UUUCGUAGAUCCAUGCUUGAAAGGCUACCAACAUAUCUCGUAGCCUAUAAUGUGCGGUUUGUCGACUCAAUGCAUCUUUCAAAGAACUCAAAGUAAUCUCAAACGGUAACUUUCCCCAUGGGAAACUGUUCAGCGCAGGGAAGUCCUCAACAAGCGCGAACAAGUAAUGGUCAACCACUUUCUUAUAAUCUCUAGGAAAUAAGUAUGCAGUAAUGAAGUACAGGAUACCAAUGAGUGCAACAUCA
RNAcentral lists this long non-coding RNA (245 nucleotides) under Olea europaea (common olive). Its description in RNAcentral is "long non-coding RNA (OEUR_LNC009646)". The record is from RNAcentral. Lineage: Eukaryota; Viridiplantae; Streptophyta; Magnoliopsida; Lamiales; Oleaceae.